GACCCGUUAGCUCAGUCGGUAGAGCACCUGCCUUUUAAGCAGGGUGUCGCUGGUUCGAUCCCAGCACGGGUCACCA
Molecule: transfer RNA, 76 nt
Filed under: Candidatus Eisenbacteria bacterium RBG_16_71_46
Lineage: Bacteria; Candidatus Eiseniibacteriota
Also listed under: 3 other names
Description: tRNA-Lys
Rfam family: tRNA
About the family: Transfer RNA (tRNA) molecules are approximately 80 nucleotides in length. Their secondary structure includes four short double-helical elements and three loops (D, anti-codon, and T loops). Further hydrogen bonds mediate the characteristic L-shaped molecular structure. tRNAs have two regions of fundamental functional importance: the anti-codon, which is responsible for specific mRNA codon recognition, and the 3' end, to which the tRNAs corresponding amino acid is attached (by aminoacyl-tRNA synthetases). tRNAs cope with the degeneracy of the genetic code in two manners: having more than one tRNA (with a specific anti-codon) for a particular amino acid; and 'wobble' base-pairing, i.e. permitting non-standard base-pairing at the 3rd anti-codon position.
Source: RNAcentral